RNAcentral lists this long non-coding RNA (540 nucleotides) under Physcomitrium patens. RNAcentral describes it as "long non-coding RNA (PPAT_LNC007677)". The record is from RNAcentral. Lineage: Eukaryota; Viridiplantae; Streptophyta; Bryopsida; Funariales; Funariaceae.
AGAAUAAUUUUUCUAUGGUCAAUUUUAAAUCGAUUGAUCAAAUUUAAAUCCUAAAUCAAAUUUUAAUAAAACCCUAAAUCAAAUCCUAAUCAAAUCUUAAAUCCUAAAUCCUAAAUAAAAUCUUAAAUCAAAUCCUAAAUCCUAAAUCAAACCUUAAUCAAAUUCUAACCCUAAAUCAAAUCCUAACCAAAUUCUAAAUCCUAAAUCAAAUCCUCACCAAAUCUUAAAUCUUAAAUCAAAUCUUAACCAAAUCCUAAAUCCUAAAUCAAAUCUUAAUCAAACCUUAAAUCCUAAAUCAAACCCUAAACCCUAAACCCUAAAUCAAAUCCUAACCAAACCUUAAAUCCUAAAUCAAAUCCUAAUCAAAUCCUAAAUCCUAAAUCAAAUUCUAAUCAAAUCUUAAACCCUAAACCAUAUCCUAAAUCCUAAAUCAAACUCUAACAAAAUCAUAACCAAAUCCUAAUUCUAAAUCAAAUUCUAACCAAAUCCUAAAUUCUAAAUCUUAAACCAAAUACUAACCAAAUCCUAACCAAAUCCUAA